Molecule: ribosomal RNA, 351 nt
Filed under: Triticum aestivum (bread wheat)
Lineage: Eukaryota; Viridiplantae; Streptophyta; Magnoliopsida; Poales; Poaceae
Description: partial small subunit ribosomal RNA
Source: RNAcentral
GUGGGUUCUUCAGCUCAUAAACGCAAAGGAAAGGCGCCAGUCCCCAUUGACACUUCCACUCUCCGUCGCAGCACUCGUACUAACAAAUAUGAUGGAUUUCGCACCACCUCUCUGUCUGAAGCCAAGGUCUCUAAAUCCAAGGUAAAACCGCGCACUGUUCCUACAGCCGUCUCUGCUGGUCCUGCAACUGCUGCUUCAAAUCAGAUGGCUCCUGAAGAUCUCCCUCCUCCAACUGACAUUGCCACAAUGCAAGCCAUUGGCACAAAUCUAUGUGCUAUCCCGGAGGAGGAGCUCACGGUUGCUGCUUUCACUGAAGACCCGGCGGGGACCUCUUCAUCAACCUCAGCUUGA